UGCACUGUCACGCACAAGAGCUGCAGG
This 27-nucleotide small RNA is filed under the name Bombyx mori (domestic silkworm). RNAcentral describes it as "ovarian small RNA-33484". Lineage: Eukaryota; Metazoa; Arthropoda; Insecta; Lepidoptera; Bombycidae. The record is from RNAcentral.